RNAcentral lists this ribosomal RNA (473 nucleotides) under uncultured bacterium. Its description in RNAcentral is "bacterial SSU rRNA". It matches the Rfam family "Bacterial small subunit ribosomal RNA", at positions 355 to 825 of the family's 1533-position model. The record is from RNAcentral.
UGGGGAAUAUUGCGCAAUGGGCGAAAGCCUGACGCAGCAACGCCGCGUGAGUGAUGAAGGCCUUCGGGUCGUAAAGCUCUGUCGGAGGGAACGAAUGCUCCUGAAGUUAACAGCCUCAGGAGGUGACGGUACCCUCAAAGGAAGCACCGGCUAACUCUGUGCCAGCAGCCGCGGUAAUACAGAGGGUGCAAGCGUUGUUCGGAAUCAUUGGGCGUAAAGGGCGCGUAGGCGGCAUGACAAGUCACUUGUGAAAUCUCUGGGCUUAACCCAGAACGGCCAAGUGAUACUGUCGCGCUAGAGUGCAGAAGGGGCAAUCGGAAUUCUUGGUGUAGCGGUGAAAUGCGUAGAUAUCAAGAGGAACACCUGAGGUGAAGACGGGUUGCUGGGCUGACACUGACGCUGAGGCGCGAAAGCCAGGGGAGCAAACGGGAUUAGAUACCCAAGUAGUCCCUGAGCGGGCUGGCAAGGCGCAU